Molecule: unclassified non-coding RNA, 237 nt
Filed under: Hevea brasiliensis (rubber tree)
Lineage: Eukaryota; Viridiplantae; Streptophyta; Magnoliopsida; Malpighiales; Euphorbiaceae
Source: RNAcentral
UAUGCCUCACUCAUCAACAUCAAUGCUUACCACCAACCUGGUGUGGAAGCUGGGAAAAAGGCAGCAGGAGAAGUAUUAGCUCUUCAGAAGCGGGUUUUGGCAGUACUCAAUGAGGCAAGUUGUAAAGAGCCUGUUGAACCAUUGACGCUUGAGGAAGUAGCUGAACGUUGCCAUGCAGAAGAAGAUGUUGAAAUGAUAUACAAGAUUGUUGCACACAUGGCUGCCAAUGACAGAGCA